CUGGAGAAGGUACUCUUUGUGAAAAAGACAGAGAUAAAAACAGACAGAGUCACAAUCUACUUGGAAGAGCUGGAUAAGACUUCUCUGAAGCUUAACAUCUCAGUGGAACAAGAUAUUGAAGUACAGAACCUGAAACCAGCAACAGUGCAUGUCUAUGACUACUAUAAGCCAGAUGACCGCACAGCAAGAGAAUACAAUUCCCCUUGCAGUUCAGAUGUCUAGAUGGAUUCCUACCAGAACUCCAUGGCUCUGGAACCAGCAAUCUGAGUUUCCCGCUUCCAAAAGGAAAACUUCAUUGCUCUGGCUCUACUCUGUGUACUCUGCUGUACACACUUGUGUUCUGUUGGAUGCACCCUGUUUCUUCUGAUGCCCUAGUUUUUAUGUGAAACAUGACUUGACGUGCAGUACUUUGGGUUCAAGUGAAAUAAAGUACACAGAACUUGAAAAGAAUGCAGUGACUUGAUAGUUGAUGAAAUCUGCACAGAGUUCAAUGUCUGAAAAAGAAGAGAGAGAAACAUUUCUUAGGUCAUGAUUACAAAAAUUUCUUUUUGUUGUCAUAUUGGCUUAAGAAUUCCUUUCCUCCCUGAGUCCCAUCUCUGGGAUACCUUCUCAAAUGUUUUAGCACAACAUUGUGUUUGCAAUCAAACUCCAAGCAAAAAAUGUAAUUUUUAACCAUGUUCUGGGGUUGCUACAUGGCUCUCUGAACCAUCUUUCUUUCACAGCUGAAGAGUAAGAACAGGCAAGAGAAAGCCAAAGGAGAACUACUUUACCAGUUGUCCAGACAGUGUCCUAUGAAGGGAGGCCAUUAGGCCAAAAUACUCCUCUCCAAAUUCUCUGUGUGUUGUGUAGACACUUGUUUGUCUCUAGUUCUUAUGUCAAGCUGGAGUAUUUUAGAAAUUCCAUAAGGGUGUGAUCCUGCAGAUCUCUCUCAGAUCCGAAUUCCAUUCCAAGGGCUCCAGGAUCUUCUUUCAAUGCCAACUGCUUUCAAUGCUACAACCACCUUGUAGUACCAGGACAACGGUAGCACUGCAGGAUGGGAUCAAGAUCACAAUUAAGACCCUGUGGCAAAUACUGGUGAAUAAGCAGAACUGUACCUGUCCUCAGACUCCUGAAUAGGUCCUGAAUAAAGAAGGUAAAGAGGGAUGAGCACAGAACAAUUCCAUGCAUAGUGUAGUUGGUGUCUUUUUCAUUGUCAUAUCUCCCUCUGAAUUGUAGAGGUUCCCUUUUUUUGCUUGCCUUUUUGCAUACCCAUGCAUUGAACAAUAUAUUCAGUGUUAACUACACCUUCUUUAGUAUCAUCUCUUGUAUUGUUCACCACUACUCAAUGUUGAUCUUUUUCUAUAAACAAUCUGAAUUGACUGUCUAUCUAGGAGUGAUUUAUAGAACUGUUAUCCUUUUCAUUUUCUCUCUCUCUCUCUUUUUUAUUUUUUAUUUUAUUUUUUAUUUUUUAAAUGCAGGGUCAGUCACAUAAAAGUGUAUGGCCCUUUCUGUUUUCUUUGAAGAUUGUCAUCUCCCUGUGUUGGAACUCUAAUUUACAUGACUAUACCUCCCACUUCCCAUAGAAUUGGUUUCAGUUUUCACAUUUCAGGGAAAUAUAAAGUGAAGCAAGUCAUGUGACCAGGGUUGUUUGGGGAAGUUCACUCUUUCCAUGAACUACUGUGCUGGGUCUGGCUGGGUCUGGCUUCUUUCCGUAAUAUUUUCUUCUCCUCCUCUUCUUCUGAGGAAGGGGAGUGAGAGAGCAGUUAUGGUGGAGUUUAGCUGCCCUGCGAGGGACAGUAAAUCUAUUUUUUCUCCAACCACUGAGAGUAUCUGCCCAUGAAGCAGGCAGACCCAGUCCUUCUUCCCCUACUUAUUGUUCUGAGCUUUCUUGUCCAGUAGGGACAAGAAAAAAAUGAAAAUAUAAAUUCCACAAACAUUUGGUAUGAGGCAGAAAACUUGAGAAAGUAUUUUUUGGGGGAACUGAUACAAAAAGAGGACAUGGCUGAGCUCAAAAGGUCAAAAAAAUGAACAAACUGCAUGGGGCCUCCAAGCAGUAUUCCUCUAAUAUUGGACCUUCCUGAGACAUCCUGGGAGUCAAUAGGUACGGCCCGAUGAUGCUCCUUUGCCACUGGAUGGGAAAGGACAAGGGAGCAACGUGGGCAGCACAGACUCUUAGUUGCCUUCCUGGCAGGUUUCCUACUCUGGAUAUUUGGGCUGGACAGAAGAAGAUUAGGUAGCAUGGUGCUUUUACCUGGUUGAACUUCAGAUAGGAAGUUUGUAAAUAAAAAUAGAAGAUUGUAACACAAUACACUUGGUGCGCACAUGUGCCAGGAUCUCCUGCCCCUUAAUAAACACAUGUCAAGGGUCUAUUUUUCACCUUCUGUCAAGUAACAGCCGUGAAGUUACAUCUGAGUAGAAACAAGCCUACCAAGACUCCUCUCCUAAUAAAAAGUCUUGCUACCUUGCAUCUGGGUGGGGUAGUUUAGUAAGGAAAUGAAGUACAUGAAAUGUGAGUACAAAAAGAUGUUUCCGGGCUGUGGUUUCAUAUCAGAUUGGUGUUGUUCAGCUGCACAUGAGAGGCUGAGGAAGUUGGUAAAACAGAGGGUUUGAAAAGACCUGCUGCAAGCUUCCUUAAGACAGGAGUCUACAGUAGAUGUCAGUGAAGUCUUUGCCUCUUCGAGCAAACACUGGGGACUGUGAUAAGUGGCUAGUCUGUGCGGUAGCUGAGUGACCUGAAGCUUGCUCAGUUCUUCUGAGUGUAGAAUAGGUGCUCUCUAUUAUAGGUGAUAUCCAUUAGAAACACCUUCCUGUGCCAGAAAGAAACUUUCAGUAUGUAUAAAUGAAGGUGGGGUAUGAAUAACUGGCAGAUGGCCAGGAGACUUCCUCCCAUCACCUCACCACAGCAGCUUUCACAGUUUGGUUGCCCAGAUGACCUGGAGGCAGUUGAGAAACUUCCUAUACCUCCUAUAAAGUUCUGCUGCUUCAGACCAAAAAAAAAAAAAAAAAAAAAAAAAAAGCCUGAAAAACACAAUACGGCUAACAGGAAAUCGGGUAAGUAGCAUCUCAGCUACCAAGGGAUUUUUCUGCAAAGCAAAGCUCUUAAAAGGAGUGAGAAAUAGCCCCCUUAAAAAGGAGAACUGUAAGCAUGUGAGAUGGCCCUGAAUAGAUUCUGACCUUGUUAGGAAGCUCUUAUCAAAAAUAAAUAGCAUAUUUAAAAUCUAUACAUGUAGAAGACAGUUGGCAUGCUGAAGAGAUAGGGAUUUGUUGAAGCAUUCAUAAAGGUUUGGUGAGUGUGGCUUACUUGG
This is a long non-coding RNA of Cairina moschata (Muscovy duck), 3284 nucleotides long. Lineage: Eukaryota; Metazoa; Chordata; Aves; Anseriformes; Anatidae. The record is from Ensembl.